RNAcentral lists this ribosomal RNA (469 nucleotides) under uncultured bacterium. Its description in RNAcentral is "bacterial SSU rRNA". It matches the Rfam family "Bacterial small subunit ribosomal RNA", at positions 33 to 518 of the family's 1533-position model. The record is from RNAcentral.
ACGCUGGCGGCGUGCCUAACACAUGCAAGUCGAGCGAGGAGAUUCCUUCGGGAUGAUCCUAGCGGCGGACGGGUGAGUAACACGUGGGCAACCUGCCUCAUAGAGAGGAAUAGCCUUCCGAAAGGGAGAUUAAUACCUCAUAACAUUGCAGUUUCGCAUGGAACAGCAAUUAAAGGAGUAAUCCGCUAUGAGAUGGGCCCGCGGCGCAUUAGCUAGUUGGUGAGGUAACGGCUCACCAAGGCGACGAUGCGUAGCCGACCUGAGAGGGUGAUCGGCCACAUUGGGACUGAGACACGGCCCAGACUCCUACGGGAGGCAGCAGUGGGGAAUAUUGCACAAUGGGGGAAACCCUGAUGCAAGCAACGCCGCGUGAGUGAUGACGGCCUUCGGGUUGUAAAGCUCUGUCUUCAGGGACGAUAAUGACGGUACCUGAGGAGGAAGCCACGGCUAACUACGUGCCAGCCGCAGC